GUCACAUUGAGGGGCCGAGGUGACCCAGGCUGGUGGCACCUCCUAUUCUGGAGUCAGGAUCUGCCUUGGAGAGGACCUAAUUUAGAAGCAACCCUGUCCCCAAGACAGGCAUUUGGGGCCAUCUUGAGAAGCACAACCAGAGGGGACAGUCAGGCCAGGGAGGGAAGGGACAGUGAAGGAGUGUCUCAGAGCAGGCAGGGGAGGCUCCCCAGGAGGACAUGGCGGAGAGAUGGAGAAGGCUUUGGGAGGCAGCUCCCUCCUGGGGAGGGACUCUGGAGGACCCUCUGCUGGGCGUCAAAUCUGUUUGUCACUUUUUGAGGUAGCUGUGUAUUUGCUUUGUGUGGUUUUCCGAGUCCCAUCUUUAUCUUACAGUAAAAGCUCAAAGAAACACAAGGAUAAGAAAUGAAAUCUUGGUGGAGCCAGAGAAAGGACCAGAAGAGACACAUCCCUCCCUGGCGGGCCACUGGAGUGUUCAUACCCAACUGUCCUCUCUAGGAAGGGCUGGCAGUCGGCUCGGCGAAAGCACUUGCUUGGUCGUUGACCCUGUUCAUUAGGAGUUGAAAUGAUUCUCUUCGACACGGACUCCCCCUGGCUUCCUGGGUUAAUUGCUUUGGGCUUGUAUUGGUGAAAAGAUGAGUGGACCUGGUAUUUUAUGUUUCUCUCUUCACCAAAGGUGUGUCACUCAGGGCCUCCAGGUGUGCGCUGACAUGAAGCUGCUUGGAAGCCACAUGGCCCUGGACGGGUGUGAUGCUUUCUGAGCUGAAGGAGUCCUUCCCAGUGGCCUCACACAGGGACGGGGGCAUUAUUCAGGCUGCCUAGCACCUCAGCCGGUGCUUACCCCCCCUGUGUGACGCUGCAGGUUCGACCCCCAGCACUGGCAAAAAAUAAAAAAAGCUAACAAGUGGCCAGAGUGGGGGAGGGAGAAGAACACCCAUAACACUGACGAAAUGACGAGUAAAGACAGCUCUCUCUGGGGCUGGGAUUGUGGCUCAGCGGUAGAGCGCUCGCCUAGCUCGGGCGGGACUCGGGUUCGAUUCUCAGCACCACAUGAAAAUAAAGGCAUUGUGUUAAAAACAACAACAACACAGCUCUCAAAGUACCAGGACUGUUG
RNAcentral lists this long non-coding RNA (1111 nucleotides) under Marmota monax (woodchuck). Lineage: Eukaryota; Metazoa; Chordata; Mammalia; Rodentia; Sciuridae. The record is from RNAcentral.